This 467-nucleotide ribosomal RNA is filed under the name uncultured bacterium. RNAcentral's name for it is "partial 16S ribosomal RNA". It matches the Rfam family "Bacterial small subunit ribosomal RNA", at positions 29 to 507 of the family's 1533-position model. The record is from RNAcentral.
ACGAACGCUGGCGGCGUGCUUAACCCAUGCCAGUCGAACGGAAAGGCCCUGCUUUUGUGGGGUGCUCGAGUGGCGAACGGGUGAGUAACACGUGAGUAACCUGCCCUUGACUUUGGGAUAACUUCAGGAAACUGGGGCUAAUACCGGAUAGGAGCUCCUGCUGCAUGGUGGGGGUUGGAAAGUUUCGGCGGUUGGGGAUGGACUCGCGGCUUAUCCGCUUGUUGGUGGGGUAGUGGCUUACCAAGGCUUUGACGGGUAGCCGGCCUGGGAGGGUGACCGGCCACAUUGGGACUGAGAUACGGCCCAGACGCCUACGGGAGGCAGCAGUGGGGAAUAUUGCACAAUGGGCGGAAGCCUGAUGCAGCAACGCCGCGUGCGGGAUGACGGCCUUCGGGUUGUAAACCGCUUUCGCCUGUGACGAAGCGUGAGUGACGGUAAUGGGUAAAGAAGCACCGGCUAACUACGUG